GAUGAACGCUAGCUACAGGCUUAACACAUGCAAGUCGAGGGGCAGCAGGGAUUUAGCUUGCUAAAUUCGCUGGCGACCGGCGCACGGGUGCGUAACGCGUAUCCAACUUUCCCGUUACUCUCGGAUAGCCUUCCGAAAGGGAGAUUAAUACGAGAUGGUGUUCAGUUUCCGCAUGUUUGCUGAACUAAAGAUUCAUCGGUAACGGAUAGGGAUGCGUGACAUUAGAUAGUUGGCGGGGUAACGGCCCACCAAGUCAACGAUGUCUAGGGGUUCUGAGAGGAAGGUCCCCCACACUGGAACUGAGACACGGUCCAGACUCCUACGGGAGCAGCAGUGAGGAAUAUUGGUCAAUGGGCGAGGCCUGAACCAGCCAAGUAGCGUGAAGGAUGAAGGUUCUAUGGAUUGUAAACUUCUUUUAUACGGGAUAAAACCACCUACGUGUAGGUGCUUGUAUGUACCGUAUGAAUAAGCAUCGGCUAACUCCGUG
Molecule: ribosomal RNA, 487 nt
Filed under: uncultured bacterium
Lineage: Bacteria
Description: bacterial SSU rRNA
Rfam family: Bacterial small subunit ribosomal RNA
Source: RNAcentral